GGGAGAAGAGAGGAGGGGGGGAAGGAGGGGCGAAGGGAGGGUGGAAGUGAGGAAGAGAGGGGGGAAGGGAGGACCAGGGAGAGAGAAGGGGGAAGGAGAAAGAGGGAGAGAGAGAGAGACAGAGAAGGAGAGAGGGAGGAGGGAGUGGGGAGUGAGAGAGGGGAAAGAGGGAGGGAGGGAGAGAAGGGGAGAGGGAAAGACUGAGACAGAAAAAAAAACAAAACAAAGAGAGACAGACAGAGACAGAGAGACAGAAAGAUAGAGACAGACAGAAAAAAACAAGAGACAGAGACAGAGAAAGAGAGAUAGAGAGAUAGAAAGACAGAGACAGAGAGAGAUAGAAAGACAGAGACAGACAGAAAAAACAAAGACAGAGACAGAGAAAGAGAGAUAGAGAGAUAGAAAGACAGACAGAGAGAGAUAGAAAGACAGAGACAGAGACAGAAAAAACAAAGACAGACAGAGACAGAGAAAGAGACAGAGACUGAGAGAAGGAGGUAGAAAGGAAAAGGGAAAGAGAGGGGGGGGGAAGGGGGAAAGAGGAAUAGAGAAGGGGGAGGGAGAAAGAGGGAGAAAAAGAAAAACAGAAAGGGGGAGGGAGAGGGGAGAGAGAGAGAGAGAGAAGGGAAGAGAGAGUGAAAGCAAAAGAUAGAGACAGAAAGAGACUGAGAGACAGAGAAGGGAGAAAGAUGGGGGAGGAGGGAGAGACAAAGAGAGACUGAUUAUAUGAACUGAUUGCCUAAUCUUAUCAGGGAACAUAGAGCACAGCAUGGUUUUUUUUUUCUUGCUCAAGAGUAAGCAGUGAGAGGAACAGGGUGUCCCUUCUGAAGCUGCUUUCAACAUUACUAUGAAUUUCCUCUGCUUUAUCUUCCUGGGCUUGAAUCAGAGAGUUGAGAGCCUUUAGAUGAAGGCAGCAUUUAGGAUUGGGGUCAAAACAAAAUAUUUUUGGACAGCAGCAGCCAGUGGCUGAAACUUGAGAAGCUCGAGGGGUUAGGUCAAGCACUCCAAAUGCUACCUGACUAAAUUCCAAGGCUGAAGGAGAUCCAGAACAUCAGACUUAUUCAGAAACAGUCUUACUGCAAGAAGCAAAGGUUCUAGAACUGUGCUUUGGAUGUACAUCAGGCCCUCAUGCUGAGCUGUUGGCAGUAAUAUGCAGAGAACAUGAGAAAUGAGCCCUCCUGGAGAACAAUUUGGAACUCUGCCCAUAGAGCUAUCAAACCAUGCAUACCCUUUGAUCCGCAGUGUCUCUACUGGGUCUGUAACCCAAAGAAAUCAUAAAAAAGGGAAACAGCCCUUUGUAGUGGCAAGGAACUGAAAGCCCAUCAAUUGGGGAAUGGCUGAAUAAAUUAUGGCAUAUGACUGUUAGGGAAUAUUAUUGUUCUAUAAGAAAUGAUCAGCAGGACGAUUUCAGAGAGGCCUGGAGAGACCUAUAUAAACUGAUGCUAACUGAAGUUAGUAGAACCGAGAGAAUAUUGUACACAGCAACAAGAUUAUGUGAUGAUCAACUGUGAUGGACUUGGCUCUUUUCAACAAUGAGGUGAUUCAGGCCAGACUUGUGAUAGAGAGAGCCAUCUGCAUCUAGAAAAAGGAUGAUGGGAACUGAAUGUGGAUCACAACCUAGUGUUUUCACCUUUUUUGUUAUUAUUGUUGUUUGCAUUUUGUUUUCUUUCUCAUUUUUUCCUUUUUGAUCUGACUUUUCUUGUGCAUCAUGAUAAAUGUGGAAAUAUGUAUAGAACUGCAUAUGUUUAACCUAUAUUGGAUUACUUGCUAUUUAUUGGGGGGAAAGGGAAGGAGAAAAAUUUGGAACACAAGGUUUUGCAAGGGUGAACGUUGAAAACUAUGCAUGUAUUUUGAAAAUAAAAAGCUAUUAUUUUAAAAAAGGAGGCUGUAAACCACAGUGCAUCAGACAGGCAGUUUCAUCAAGUCAAGUUAACCCACAGUCAAAUUCUGAAGGUUCAUUUUCUCUUUCCAAGUAGCCUGAGGGGAGCAGUGUGUUAGAACAGGAAAAGGAGUAGAUUGGGGAUCAGAGGUUAGACUUCACCCCAGCCUUGUUCCUUAUUAUCUAGGUGACCAUUCAACAAACAUCUUUCUGGGUCGCAUUUUCUUCACCUGAAAAAAGAGGGGGUUGGAUUUACUAGCCUCUCAGAUCUCUUCCAAGUCUAGAUUUGUGGUUCUAUCCUCUGUCAUAGACAGGAACUGUUCUAAAAGAAUUGACUAAUUAAAUAGGUUUGGCUCAAUGCAAGGACUACAGGACUUAGGUCUAAGACAGAUACCUGAGGACUGGUCCCAUCUUGUAUAUUUGCUAUGUGUAUAACCUUGGUUAAUUCAAUUGGCCUCUCCAAAUGUCAUUUUCCGUCACCUCUAAAAUGAGGAUAAUGUUGGGGAAAGGAUCAAUAAGAUAGGGAUGAUAACCCUCCCAUUUCUUGCUGCCCUCAUGCCAUCCACUCAAAUCUUACAUAUCAUCCAAGACAUGGGUCAGGUUCCACUACUUUGGUAGUUUUCCCAAUUGCACCAAACUUCAUCUCUUUCUUCCAUUCUUUGAACUCACAUGGCAUUUUUAGUAUCACACUAUUUAGCUGUUGGGAAACCCAGUGGCAAAAUGGAUAGACCAGUAGGCCUGGAGUUAGGAAGAUGUGAGUUGAAAUCCAAAAACACUUGCUAGCCAUGUGAUCCUGAGCAAGUCAUUUAAGCUAGUUUGCCUCUAUUUCCUCAUCUGUAAAGUGAAUUGGAGAAGAAAAUGGCAAACUUCUCCAGUAUCUUUGCCAAGAAAACCCUAACUGAGGUCAGAGAGUUAAUUCAAUCCAAGUGCCUCGCUCCAAACUGGGUACAGUAGAGAUACUGGAUGAAUGUCUCCUGAUUUUUGCUAUGUCCCUGAACUGCUCCAAUAGCCUCUCAAAAAGCCUUUUUGCACCUCCUUCACACUCCCACUAAUCAAAACAAAUUGUCCAUAUUCUACUCUCUCAAUGCAUUGUUAGAUAAUCAAAUACUCUUCACUGAAAAUGGUUUAAUAUGUCAUUCUAGACAUAUAAAACUGGAUUAGAAGGAGGAAGUCAGCAUGGUUCCAGAAUAGGUUCAGUGGAGACUCCCAUAUUGGAGGGAUGAAAGAAAGAGAAAGUCAAGUCAAGUCAAGAUGGAAUAGGAAAAGGCAGUUAGAUUCCAAUUUUGUGCUCUCAUGCAAGAGCUCACCUACAUCACUGUCUUUGUGUUUCAGAUAAAAAGUUCUUUAGAAGGAAGCCAAGCAAAAGUAGUCUCUGAGCUAGUUCAACAGCAUGUGUUCUAGCUUUUUUCCCUUGCUCUCCAAGAAAAGAAUCCUGCCUAGGAUAAAUUUAGACUAGAAGGAAUAUCUUUCCCUUUAAGCGGAUAGAUUAAACUUUGAUCCUAGUCAAAGGAAAGUAUGGAUAUAAUGAAUUAGCCAUAGACUAAAGUGAUCAUCUCCAUGGUGACUUGCAUUAGGUCUUUAAAUAUUUUAUAUUUCUCUGUGGUUUUGGUUCCUUUGAUGGCAAAUCCCUACAAAGAAGGAAUGGAGCAAAUUGGUGGAAACAUCAUGGGCAGCAAGAGGGGAAUGGAGAAGCAACUGGAUAAGGCCAGAAAAUAUAAAGUCUGUGGCAAAAUCAGGGACUAGUGGUGACCUAGAAUUGGUCAACUAAUUAAGUAUAUUUAGGGAUAUGGACAGGUAUAUCAUUGAUGUGGGGACUCUUAGACGGGGAAAUCUUUACCAAUGCAGGUCUUCACUUUGUGAGAGAAUUACUUAAAGCAAGAAGAGAUCAAGCGACUUGCUCAGAGUCACACAGCCAGCAUCUUUCAGAGGUGAGAGACAGGAAGCAAUAAAACAUCAGCUUUGUUGACAUCAGGAUCUAGACCCUGAGCAAUGUGAUGGAUUUGAUUCAAGUUGUUCUUGACCACUGGAUUCACAUCCUUGUGAAUUUGGAAUUUGUCAUUUUCUGUGUUUGAAGAAUGAUGAAAAACUGCUUGCCAAAAAGAGAAUUAAAAUCAAAUCCUGAAGUUACCCACA
This is a long non-coding RNA of Antechinus flavipes (yellow-footed antechinus), 4012 nucleotides long. RefSeq lists it as uncharacterized. The transcript has 2 exons. The record is from RefSeq and is a predicted model, not a curated record. NCBI's taxonomy places the organism in Eukaryota, Metazoa, Chordata, Mammalia, Dasyuromorphia, Dasyuridae.